UGCAGUCUAGCGGAAACGAGAAGUAGCUUGCUACUUCGGCGUCGAGCGGCGGACGGGUGAGUAAUGCCUAGGAAAUUGCCUUGAUGUGGGGGAUAACUAUUGGAAACGAUAGCUAAUACCGCAUAACGCCUACGGGCCAAAGAGGGGGAUCUUCGGACCUCUCGCGUCAAGAUAUGCCUAGGUGGGAUUAGCUAGUUGGUGAGGUAAUGGCUCACCAAGGCAACGAUCCCUAGCUGGUCUGAGAGGAUGAUCAGCCACACUGGAACUGAGACACGGUCCAGACUCCUACGGGAGGCAGCAGUGGGGAAUAUUGCACAAUGGGCGCAAGCCUGAUGCAGCCAUGCCGCGUGUAUGAAGAAGGCCUUCGGGUUGUAAAGUACUUUCAGUCGUGAGGAAGGUUCAUACGUUAAUAGCGUAU
Molecule: ribosomal RNA, 418 nt
Filed under: Vibrio sp. P12-29
Lineage: Bacteria; Pseudomonadati; Pseudomonadota; Gammaproteobacteria; Vibrionales; Vibrionaceae
Description: bacterial SSU rRNA
Rfam family: Bacterial small subunit ribosomal RNA
Source: RNAcentral